This 2410-nucleotide long non-coding RNA is filed under the name Lathyrus oleraceus (garden pea). Its description in RNAcentral is "Pisum sativum (pea) long non-coding RNA (PSAT_LNC009888)". The record is from RNAcentral. Lineage: Eukaryota; Viridiplantae; Streptophyta; Magnoliopsida; Fabales; Fabaceae.
CCGAGAAAUGGCCAGAACCAUGAUCAAUGAAACAAAUAUAGUUAAGCACUUCUAGGCUGAAGCGGUGAAUACAAUGUGUUAUAUUCAGAAUAUAAUCUCUAUUAGACCUAUUCCGGAGAAGACUCCUUAUGAGCUAUGUAAGGGAAGAAAACCCAACAUUUCCUACUUUCAUCCCUUUGGAUGUUCUUGUUUUAUCCUAAAUACUAAAAAUAAUAUGAACAGGUUUGAUUCUAAAGCACAAAAAUGUAUUAUGUGGGGAUACUCAGAACGCUCUAAAGGCUAUAGAGUAUAUAAUACAUAAACACUAAUUACGGAAGAACCAAUACAUGUCAUAUUUGAUGAUAAGCUUGACUUUGAAAAUUCAAAGCUAGUUGAAAAUUUUGCAGAAUUGGAGAUAACACUUGCAAGUUCUAAGGAAAAGGCUAAAGAAUCUGAAGAAGCAGAAAAAGGAACGUCAGAAUCACCUGAAGUCACAAUAAAUCAGAAAAGAUCAAGAAAUAGACAAAACGUUUCUGAAGAAUUGAUUCUGGGGAACAAAAACAAACCUGUCAAAACAAGAUCAACAUUCAAAGGUUCUAAAGAAACACUUCUGGGACUAGUAUCUCUGAUAGAGCCUCUUGAUGACAUUCCACCUUUUGCACAUAAGUCCCUACAAGAAUUAAAUACCAAUAGGUAAGCCAUGAGAUCCAAUGAAUACACAUACAAACCAUAAGUCCAACCAUUGAAAUCAUAACAAUAUAAAACCAACGACAACCCAUUUUCAUUAGCUAACUCAUACUUAUUAAUAUUCUAACAUAAUCCAUUAAUAAUCCACGAAAUGAUUAGCUAAAAUUCUAACUUUUUAUAACUAAUACCUAACAAUUUCACACCAGGAACUGAUAGAAUUGAUUCAAUGUCUAAACAAUUGUCACAAUGCAAUAACAGUUAGCUACUCCAAAACAUCCUAACAAAGUGCAACAAUAGCAGUGAUUUAACUAAUAUUAGCAUUAGCACUAUGUGAUUGAGGGCAUCAUUUGUCACAGAAGCAGCCUCAUUUGGCUUCAAAGCAGCUACACAAAACUCAACCUAUUUCCAUGGAUAACUAACACAGUAAAUGGCUUCAAUUAACAUGACAGUUUUCUAACGUUCAAACCAAUUGACUUAGCUAAGCUCUAACCACAUUCAUGACUGAAUUUCAAGCUUGGUUCCACACCAUAAUUCACUGGUCCAACAAUCAAACUAUAAAUUUCAAACCAACAUGACAACAAGAAUUCCAAAGUUCAUGUAACAUUCAUUCAUAUCCGUGGCAUAAUUCAUAUAACACUUAAGAACAUAACACACUAUCAGUAGAAGUGUGUUUGCAGACUAACUCAGUUGUAGUUCAAUCAAUAAGUAACAAUCUACAUUAACCCUGUUAGCAUAACAACACAAUCCUCUUCAAUUUAACAAACUAACAACUAACCAAUUUAACAUAAAUAAGCAAAUUAACUUCAUCACUAACAACUUAACUAACAUAAUUGACCAAGUCUUUUAAUUACCUUCCUAACCAUGCAACUAACUUAAACUCAGUUUUCUGACUAACAUUUAGCAGAGUUAAUCUAACUGAACUUCAAGCUAACCUAUCUAACCACUAACUAUUUUUUAACUAAUUCUUAACGGAAGGAUAACAACUAACCAAUUUGUUCUCUGAGAAGUAACAAAAUUAAACUAUGUUAGAUUCAAAACUCUAUAUAAUCCAAUCACCCUACCUAAUCAUGGUUAAUCAUAAUUACUCAUAAAUUUUCUUUGUUUUUGAUCUCUGCAUCUCUCUGCAUUUUACUCCCUCGCUCUCCCUCUUCAACCCCUCACACGUAGCUCAAUUCAAUAGCCAUUGAACCUCCACCUUGAAGCUUCAACGUGUUGAGCUUGACCUCUAUACUCGACUCCCUCACACUAAGAACACAGCAAUAAAAUGUAUCAUCAUCACUUAUGGACUAGAGAAUAAGUGUAUAAGGAGAAGAAUAAAGAUUCGAAGGGAGCAAGUUUGGAGUUUACCUCAAUGCAAUCCACCGCCUUCCUCUUUGUUUGCAGCAAAUUCAACAAACUCUGGGACAUAUCACCUAUCCUAGGUAGGCCUUUUCCUCACCAUUUCACUCCAAACUUGUUACAGCCAUGUAGAUUGCUUCCUGAGGAGUCAAAGCCCUAAGGAUUGAGGUUUUUAUUCCUCCUCAUACGUGUUAAUUUUACUUUGAAACAGAUAGGGUUCAUGUGUUCUCUAGUACGAUUUGUUUGUUUGAUUUAGAAUUAGGGAAAUUGAAGUUUGGAUUGUGGAAGAGGAGGUCGAGAUGAAGAGAAUGGUGUGAGGUUUGUGUGAUUUGGGACUCCACCGUUGCUGGUGGUGAUUUCCGGCGCGACAGAGAUGGAAAAGGUACGAUGAGGAGAAGUUUAACAU